UACGGAGGGUGCAAACGUUGCUCGGAAUCAUUGGGCGUAAAGCGCACGUAGGCGGACUGUUAAGUCGGAUGUGAAAGCCCUCGGCUUAACCGAGGAAGUGCAUUCGAAACUGGCAGUCUUGAGUACAGAAGAGGGUCGCGGAAUUCCCGGUGUAGAGGUGAAAUUCGUAGAUAUCGGGAGGAACACCAGUGGCGAAGGCGGCGACCUGGGCUGAUACUGACGCUGAGGUGCGAAAGCGUGGGGAGCAAACAGGAUUAGAUACCCCCGUAGUCC
Molecule: ribosomal RNA, 273 nt
Filed under: uncultured bacterium
Lineage: Bacteria
Description: partial 16S ribosomal RNA
Rfam family: Bacterial small subunit ribosomal RNA
Source: RNAcentral